GCGGGUGUAGUAUAACGGUCAUUACACUAUCUUGCCAUGAUAGAGAUGGCGGUUCGACUCCGCUCACCCGCUCCC
Molecule: transfer RNA, 75 nt
Filed under: Candidatus Parcubacteria bacterium
Lineage: Bacteria; Candidatus Parcubacteria
Description: tRNA-Gly
Rfam family: tRNA
About the family: Transfer RNA (tRNA) molecules are approximately 80 nucleotides in length.
Source: RNAcentral